AGCCUUCAAUGUGAGCAAAUCAAUAUGUUUUGUUUGCCUCUUCGCCUGAUGGUUCCUUCCAUCUACCAUCCACCAAUAAAACUCCACCAUAUCUUCCUAAUUCUUCACCUUCCUUCUUUAUUCGUGACACUCUUCAUAUUGCGAUGCCACUGGUCAAGCUUCCUCUGGUUGCCUUCACCAGAAAUCUGCAGGCUUGAAGCGCAAUUCGGCUUCCACAUGCAUUCCCCACACUACUGUAGAGAUCUACAUACAAAUCACGAACGAAUAUAGUGCACUGAUGCCCAUCGACCAGAGAAAUAGGCUGGAUGGCAAUCAGUUCUGCAGACGUAGUAGCGGAGCUUGGCGCCACGAGCCGGAGACAUCGAUCGUCUACUGAACUCGCUAGAGCAGCGAAGACCAUAUAGAUGAUGUAAUAUUAGCAAAGCUCUACUAUUAUAUAACGAACAAAAAGGGAGGGGAGAUGUCCAAUCGCACCAUAUCGCGGGAGCAUUACAGGGAGGCCACGGUUGCACGCACAGUCGUCGAGGACGUGCACUGCCGCUCUCAAGUCUAUGGGGACAUCACUUUAUGACGCAUGCGGAGGAGUCCGCACAUGGCGGCGGUGACAGGUAUCUCCUCUUGCCGCCGUUUGACCUGGGCUGAUCCUCAUGUUGCGCGAUCCAAAGUUGCGGGUCCAUGGGUCUCAUCUUAAUUGGAGUAGUAGCAUGGCGACCAUCAUGAUGAGAGCAUGAUCGAAUGAGCAUUUCUAAUGGCCUCACUAACAACUUCACUGCAGGUGAUAUACUAACAUAGCUUCAUCGUCGCAUAUGCUUCUAUCAUUAUCCAAACAGAGGAGAAUUUGAGAGGAAGGUGGAGAUCAGAGAAAGAAGAUGAACAAUGCCUAUCCUAAGCCAACGCCAUGCCUCGGCCGAAGCCGCCCAAUCCGUCCAAGCCAGGUUGUGUGUAGCUGCAUCCCAAUAUUUGUAAACGUGUCCUUCCUUCGUGGCUUUGAGCUGGGCCGGGUAAUUGUUCAAAGCCGGCAAGACCCAGUCGUCGUGGUCGACGGGGACUAGGUCGAAAAAUGCAUUGAGAUAGCAGUCUUGGUUGGCACGGACUUGAUCGAAGGAGAGCGCGUGGUCAAACCGUCGAAGGAGUGGUCACAGCAGAACGUCAGCGCCACAAACAUCUGCCCUCCUCGCACC
Molecule: long non-coding RNA, 1181 nt
Organism: Triticum dicoccoides
Lineage: Eukaryota; Viridiplantae; Streptophyta; Magnoliopsida; Poales; Poaceae
Exons: 6
Source: RefSeq, a predicted model, not a curated record